This 263-nucleotide ribosomal RNA is filed under the name uncultured bacterium. Its description in RNAcentral is "partial 16S ribosomal RNA". It matches the Rfam family "Bacterial small subunit ribosomal RNA", at positions 793 to 1055 of the family's 1533-position model. The record is from RNAcentral.
GUCCACGCCCUAAACGAUGUCGACUAGUUGUCGGGACUUAAUUGUCUUGGUAACGCAGCUAACGCGUGAAGUCGACCGCCUGGGGAGUACGGUCGCAAGAUUAAAACUCAAAGGAAUUGACGGGGACCCGCACAAGCGGUGGAUGAUGUGGAUUAAUUCGAUGCAACGCGAAAACCUUACCUACCCUUGACAUGGCCCGGAUCCCUGAGAGAUUGGGGAGUGCCCGCAAGGGAACGGGUGCACAGGUGCUGCAUGGCUGUCGU